This 200-nucleotide long non-coding RNA is filed under the name Buteo japonicus. Its description in RNAcentral is "lncRNA (ENSBJAG00000005184.1)". Lineage: Eukaryota; Metazoa; Chordata; Aves; Accipitriformes; Accipitridae. The record is from RNAcentral.
GCAAGGAAAAAAGGCACGUGGCCAUGGAGGCUAUGAUUCUGAUUUUAGUGAUGAGGAGAGUGGAGAGAAUUCUGUGCAAAAGACUAAAAGUAAAAAGGAAGAUGUCCUUCUGAUAAAGCCAUUCCAAAAAGCAAAACAAGGCAGUGUGGUUCACAGACAAUUCGCAGCUGAAGAAUGGGAUAGGGAAGAAGCAAGAAAAA